CCUACGGGGGGCUGCAGUGGGGAAUAUUGCACAAUGGGCGCAAGCCUGAUGCAGCCAUGCCGCGUGUGUGAAGAAGGCCUUCGGGUUGUAAAGCACUUUCGGCGGGGAGGAAGGCGUUAAGGUUAAUAACCUUGGCGAUUGACGUUACCCGCAGAAGAAGCACCGGCUAACUCCGUGCCAGCAGCCGCGGUAAUACGGAGGGUGCAAGCGUUAAUCGGAAUUACUGGGCGUAAAGCGCACGCAGGCGGUCUGUCAAUUCGGAUGUGAAAUCCCCGGGCUCAACCUGGGAACUGCAUUCGAAACUGGCAGGCUAGAGUCUUGUAGAGGGGGGUAGAAUUCCAGGUGUAGCGGUGAAAUGCGUAGAGAUCUGGAGGAAUACCGGUGGCGAAGGCGGCCCCCUGGACAAAGACUGACGCUCAGGUGCGAAAGCGUGGGGAGCAAACAGGAUUAGAUACCCGAGUAGUC
Molecule: ribosomal RNA, 465 nt
Filed under: uncultured Klebsiella sp.
Lineage: Bacteria; Pseudomonadati; Pseudomonadota; Gammaproteobacteria; Enterobacterales; Enterobacteriaceae
Description: bacterial SSU rRNA
Rfam family: Bacterial small subunit ribosomal RNA
Source: RNAcentral